Molecule: ribosomal RNA, 253 nt
Filed under: uncultured bacterium
Lineage: Bacteria
Description: partial 16S ribosomal RNA
Rfam family: Bacterial small subunit ribosomal RNA
Source: RNAcentral
UACGUAGGGUGCAAGCGUUGUCCGGAAUUAUUGGGCGUAAAGAGCUCGUAGGCGGUCUGUCGCGUCGGCUGUGAAAACUCGGGGCUCAACCCCGAGCUUGCAGUCGAUACGGGCAGGCUAGAGUUCGGCAGGGGAGACUGGAAUUCCUGGUGUAGCGGUGAAAUGCGCAGAUAUCAGGAGGAACACCGGUGGCGAAGGCGGGUCUCUGGGCCGAUACUGACGCUGAGGAGCGAAAGCGUGGGGAGCGAACAGG